This 200-nucleotide long non-coding RNA is filed under the name Elaeis guineensis (African oil palm). RNAcentral's name for it is "long non-coding RNA (EGUI_LNC073607)". The record is from RNAcentral. Lineage: Eukaryota; Viridiplantae; Streptophyta; Magnoliopsida; Arecales; Arecaceae.
CCAUUUGAACUGUUCAUGGGCUCGUUGGAUUUCAUUUAUCAUCCUGGACCUCAUUUUGGAUUUAUUUUAGAUCGAAUCUCGAGAUAUCUUUUUUGACAAUCUUCAUAUGGACUCGAUAUUCGACCUCUUCCUAACUCUAAGAGCUUUUGGAUCUUCUCGUCCCCAUACCGUGGGGCAAACGCCUGUUGAUCAUGGAUGGA